UGUAGGAGCGGGCUUGCUCGCGAUUGGAUCGCUGCGGGGCUACAGAUACACCGUGUCGCGACUAUCGCGGGCAAGCCCGCUCCCACA
RNAcentral lists this unclassified non-coding RNA (87 nucleotides) under Pseudomonas fragi. The record is from RNAcentral. Lineage: Bacteria; Pseudomonadati; Pseudomonadota; Gammaproteobacteria; Pseudomonadales; Pseudomonadaceae.